Molecule: long non-coding RNA, 4675 nt
Filed under: Medicago truncatula (barrel medic)
Lineage: Eukaryota; Viridiplantae; Streptophyta; Magnoliopsida; Fabales; Fabaceae
Description: long non-coding RNA (MTRU_LNC008259)
Source: RNAcentral
AACAACAUUACUCAAAGCCUCUUUUCUCUAUAAAUAGUAAAAAAAAUCACACACAUUCACCAUUCUCAUAAAACACCAAUUGAAGUAAGCAUUGCACAGAAACUUGAAGAAUAUUUUCUUUUCAAUAUGAGGUUUCAAAAGGAAAACACCCCUUUUCACCCUCCACCACAAAUUCAACCUUCACAUCACAAAUUUUCAAGCUCUAUUAUACAAAAUUCAGCUAUCUCAUCAUCUCAAAAUCAAGAAUUACCAAGUAAGGUAAGUAACUUAACACACAAGAAUCGUCAUAAGCAAUGGAAAAGCAUGUCAAUUUCAUGUAGCAAAGGAAAAACUCAUGCACUCUCCGAUGAAUUUGAUCUGAGGCCGAGUGAAAAUGGUAACACGAAACAACAAAGUUGCAGCAAAAGCGAAGCUAUUAUUGUCAAUGAUGGACCAAAGGAUGGCGAUGGAUUCAAAUGUUGUGCAUUUAGAAUGUGUCUUCCAGGUUUUGGUAAAGUGAAACCAAUUAAACCAAGAAAAAGUGAAACCAAUAUGGAUUGUUCAAUGAAUGUGAUGUCUAGUACAUUUUCAUUUUCUUUUGAAACCUUUGACAUUAAUGCACAAGGAAGAAUAGUGCGUGAAAAUGAAAAUAAUAACGAAGAUGAUUCAAUCAGUUCCUACUUUGAACUUCCUUCUGCCGAGUUGUGAUGAAUUGGUGAUGGUGUACCAUUCUCUUGUAUGUGGAUGAUUUAGUUUCUCUCUCUUUUUCUUUUACUGUUAUCAAUACAAUUACUUACAGUAGAAAUCAUGAAUUGAAAACCUAGAGGGAAGACGUGCUUUCGAUAGGUAAUGACCGCAGUGUGACCUAGUUUGCCACAUUAUGAGCACACCGUUGAAUUUCAUUCUCCUCGCCCAGCAGAUCCACUAAAGUUUCAACUGGAUCCACGAUUUAACCUUCUUCCAUUAACCGCGUUAACAAUCACGCGUGGAUCUUCAGGGACAUCUAAACUAUUUUGCCUCUCAUGCUGAAUGAGGCUAGAAAAUACUUUGUUCAUAUUAGGAAAACGCUUCCAUUUACAAUAAUAAACAAUUUAAGAAGCUCCAUUUGCAAUAAUUGUGAUCACACAGCCACAUAAGACUCAUUUAAUCUCAUAAGGAUUGAAUUUUUAUUCAAGUUCUGCUUUGGUUUUGAUUCAAUUUUUGUUGUUGAUCAUAACGGUAUUUUGCCUGGUACUUAAGUGUUGUUUUGGAUGGGUACAGAUUUUAAGAAAUUGGUGGGGGUAAAAGUUGCUCCUUUGAUAUUAUUGGCUGUUGGUAUCAACUGUGUAGCUUGUUUCUAGUCUUAUUGUGAAUUGGUUUUGGUGCCGUUAAAUUAUGCAGAACUUGCAUAUAAAUAACUAAUCAUAAUCAAGUUUCAUUUACCUCUUAGGAGAAUUGAUAAAAUCAAAAAUGGCUUGGUGUUACUAAUUUUGUUACCGUGAGAAUCUAUAGAUUUUAGAAUAUGAGAUUGAGAUUGAGAUGGAGGGUCUUGACUUUCAGCGAAAAAUGAUAGAGAUUAUAGAAAAAAAAGUACCAUUACUCUAUUAAGUGGAUGUUUGGAUUGGGUUUGCAUCAUGUUUCUCACUUUCCAAUGCACUUUUAUGUGAAUUUUAUGAUGCUACAAUUGCAAGCUUCUACUCACUCGUGAGCAGCAGCGAAGUUAGCAAAAAAUUUACGCAUGGCCCAACUAAAAAGAAAAAAUAAAAUCAUUUUUUUCAAGGAAAAAAAAGUUUUGAAACCAACAUAUUAAAUUUAAGGAUAAUAUAUGUUUUUAGUCCUGUAAAUUAUAAUUUUUUAGGUUUAGUCCUUAAAAAAAAAAUUAUUCAAUUUUUGUCUUGAUUUUUUAAAAUUUUACAAAGAAAAGUGAUUUUAGUCUUGGAUUUAAUCUAUAUAACAAAAAAAUUAAGGAUUUAUAAAAUUUAAAAAUUGCAAGUGCGGUGGAGACUAAAAACAAAAUAAACCAAAAAUUAGUCAAUACAUGAAAGUUAGCUUAUAGCAGCAACAAAUAGUAAAAAUUGACAACAACUAUUUAGAAAAGUUGGACAAAACGCGUUUCAAGAAGCCAAUUUUAUUUAUAAUUGAUUGUUUACAAAAAUAGAUUAAUAAUGUUUUUUCUAAUGUAAACAAAUACUCUUUCCGUCCUAUAUUAUAUGACCUAGUUGACUCUGUCAAGUAUGUCAAUGCACAUAUUUGAACUUAAAUAUCUUUAAUAAUCAAUUAGAAAUUUUUUUGAAAAUUUGAUAUUUUGAAAAUAUUUAUCGAGAUGAAUCCAACAACAUCUUAUAUGCUAUAUUUUGUCUUUAUAUAUUAGUAGAAAAAUAUGGUCAAUUGUGACCGUGCAGAAGUGGGGUUUUCAGGGUUCGAACCCCGACCCCUGCAUAAAUUAUGCAAUGCCCCUAUCAUUAUUAUAAGCAAACAAUUAUUUUUUAGAUUUAUAGAAUAAUUGAUGUAUUUGAUCUAUAAUAUAGAUCAAAUACAUCAAUUAUUAAUUAAAUCUAAAAAAUUGUUUUUUUUAUACUUGUAAUAGUGACCGGAUAAUGUAUAUCAAAUAUGAAAUAUGUAAGUUAUUAGUGAACUCCCUCGAUUUCUUUUUAGUUGUGGUCUUAGAGUAAUUUACAUAUACCAAUAAAAUUAAUAAAUUUUGAUGUAUCAAAAAAAAAAAAUUAAUAAAUUUUGUCACUUCUAACUAAAUUAUUUAUCCUUUUUAAAAAUAAAAAUAAAACUAAAUUAUUCAUCCUUUUUGUAAAAUACGUUGACAAUUUACUAUCUUAUUCUAACUAUUUUUUAAAAUGGUUAGAUUAUAUAGCUAUGAAUUUCGUAUUUAUAUCAAAUUUUGUGUGUUUGUUCUUUAAUAUAUUAGGAGAAUAAUCAAUGGUUGGAUUAAUGAAAUUUCUUGUACCAAAUAUAGGUAAAAAUAGGUUAACAAUAGUUAAUGUAUUUGGUGCAUAUUUUGUACCAAAUAAAUCUAUAAUGUUGAUCAAUUUUUGCUUCUAUUUUUGGACGAAUGAAAUAUUGAACAAAGUAAAUCCUCUUAGAGUUGCACCCCCUAACCUAGGGUCCUAAAUCCGUCACCGCCUUGUUUGCCCUAAAUCAUUAUAGUCCAUCGUUGCAUCCGACUCUCCAGACUCUACAGCUAAUACUUGUUUGCCCUAAAUCACUUUGGGAGUCAAAUCUUACCAUUAAGUCACAGUUUACUUUCACUGUUGUAUAUAAAACCAAUAGUGAGUCGGACAUGAUAUGUAAUUGUCUCUGUUUUUGGACAGAUAUUAAACCUUAGAACUUGUAUCCAUUUUAAGUCUGUUUCACGUCUUGCUCACAAAUCUAUGAUGCCAUAAGAUGUUUGUUAUAUUUGUCCCUUGAUUCUAUGAUUUAUCUGUUUCCUACUAAGAGUAAUUUUGGUACCUUCCUUUUGAUGUCAGCACGUUACAAAUUGUGUACUUAAUUUGUGACACAACAUCAUAUAUUCAACUAUCACAAUAAUUAUAAAAAAUGCAAUUAACUGAUUCCACCAAUACAAAUAUACCCUUUCAGAAAAUAUUGUGAUUACUAGGUCCUUAAUUAAUUUCUCUGAAGUCAAUCAUCCAUUUAUAAUGCAGGCUAGAAUUUAGAAAUUUAGAAUAGCCAUGAAAGUCAAAUUAUCCUAAUUUCUAAGAGCAAAAACAAUACAUUAAUUGAUCUAAAUGAGGAUAUUAAAUUAAAGAAAAAUCGCAAUUGAUGUUGAGACAGAAACAACAUCAAAUAAAGCAUCUUUCUCUAUAAAUAGUGUGUUGUUCCAACAUAGUGUAAUCACUAAUUAGCCACAUAUUCUCAUAAAACAUCAAUCCAGAAAGUUGAAGCAUAUUUGUUUUCAAGAUGAGGUUUCAAAAAGAAAACACCUAUUUACACCCUCCACCACAACUUCAUCCAUCAAACCAAAAAAAUCCAUCAUCAUCUCAAAGUGUAGAAUUACCAAGAAAGGUAGGUAACUUGAACCACAAGAAACAUCUUAAGCAAUGCAAGACCAUGUCACUAUCAAAGGGCAAAGGAAAAACACAUGCAGUCCCAGAUGAAUUCGAUCUAAGAUCGAUUGAAAAUGCAAAUAGGAAACAACAAAGCAUCUAUAAAAAUGAAGAUACUAUCAUCAAAGAGGUUGUUGCAAAGAGUAGCAAGAGAAUGGACAGUGGCCAUGGAUUCAAAUGCCAUUCAUUUGGAAUGUGUUUUCCAGGUUUUGGUAAAGUAAAACCAAUUAAAACUAGAAAAAUUGAAACCAAGGUGGAUUAUUCAAUGAAUGUGAUGUCUAGUACAUUUUCAAUUUCUUUUGAAAACUUUGACAUUAAUGCACAAGGAAGAAUAGUCCGGGAAAAUAAUAAUGAAGAUAAUUCCAUCAGUUCUUACUUUGAACUUCCUUCUACCGCGUUGUGAUGAUACGGUGAAGGUGUAUCAUUCUUUUGAACUUACAUAAUCAAACUUCAUGAGUACCAUUGUGUUCACCUUAAUUAAAAUACUUCAAUAAUUUUGGAGCGUGUGUGCGAUUUAUUUUCUUUCUUUUUCUUUUAUUCAAUGUAUUUUCAGUUUUUUGUUACUUAUCAAUGUGUUACAUUUUUUUAAAACAAUUAAUAUAUGUUACAGUUGUUAUGUAUAACGAUAUUACUACAUCUUAUAUUAUGAUAUUCCUGCA